Molecule: ribosomal RNA, 404 nt
Filed under: uncultured bacterium
Lineage: Bacteria
Description: bacterial SSU rRNA
Rfam family: Bacterial small subunit ribosomal RNA
Source: RNAcentral
GGGGAAUAUUGCGCAAUGGGGGAAACCCUGACGCAGCAACGCCGCGUGAAGGAAGAAGGCCUUCGGGUCGUAAACUUUUGUCUUCUGGGAAGAAAAAAAUGACGGUACCAGAGGAGGAAGCCACGGCUAACUACGUGCCAGCAGCCGCGGUAAUACGUAGGUGGCAAGCGUUGUCCGGAAUUACUGGGUGUAAAGGGCGUGUAGGCGGGAGAGCAAGUCAGAUGUGAAAUACCGGGGCUCAACUCCGGGGCUGCAUUUGAAACUGUUCUUCUUGAGUGCAGGAGAGGUGAGUGGAAUUCCUAGUGUAGCGGUGAAAUGCGUAGAUAUUAGGAGGAACACCAGUGGCGAAGGCGACUUACUGGACUGUAACUGACGCUGAGGCGCGAAAGCGUGGGGAGCAAACA